UGGAGUGUGACAAUGGUGUUUGUGUGACUGAUAUCAAACGCCAUUAUCACACUAAAUA
RNAcentral lists this microRNA precursor (58 nucleotides) under Lepisosteus oculatus (spotted gar). RNAcentral's name for it is "Loc-Mir-122_pre stem-loop". The record is from RNAcentral. Lineage: Eukaryota; Metazoa; Chordata; Actinopteri; Semionotiformes; Lepisosteidae.